Molecule: ribosomal RNA, 458 nt
Filed under: uncultured Porphyrobacter sp.
Lineage: Bacteria; Pseudomonadati; Pseudomonadota; Alphaproteobacteria; Sphingomonadales; Erythrobacteraceae
Description: bacterial SSU rRNA
Rfam family: Bacterial small subunit ribosomal RNA
Source: RNAcentral
CGACAAGCGGUGGAGCAUGUGGUUAAUUCGAAGCAGCGCGCAGAACUUACCUAGCCUUUGACAUCCUAGGACGACUUCUGGAGACAGAUUUCUUCCCUUCGGGGACCUAGUGACAGGUGCUGCAUGGCUGUCGUCAGCUCGUGUCGUGAGAUGUUGGGUUAAGUCCCGCAACGAGCGCAACCCUCGUCCUUAGUUGCCAUCAUUAAGUUGGGCACUUUAAGGAAACUGCCGGUGAUAAGCCGGAGGAAGGUGGGGAUGACGUCAAGUCCUCAUGGCCCUUACAGGCUGGGCUACACACGUGCUACAAUGGCAUUUACAGUGGGCAGCUAUUCCGCAGGGAUGCGCUAAUCUCCAAAAGAUGUCUCAGUUCGGAUUGUCCUCUGCAACUCGAGGGCAUGAAGGCGGAAUCGCUAGUAAUCGCGGAUCAGCAUGCCGCGGUGAAUACGUUCCCAGGCCUU